UACCUGCAGCUCGAGUGGUAACCGCUAUUAUUGGGCCUAAAGCGUCCGUAGCCGGUUUGGUAAAUAUCUGGGUAAAUCGUGAGGCUUAACUUCACGAAUUUCGGAUAGACUGCCAGACUUGGGAUCGGGGGAGGUCAGAGGUACUCCAGGGGUAGUGGUGAAAUGUUGUAAUCCUUGGAGGACCACCGGUAGCGAAGGCGUCUGACUAGAACGAGUCCGACGGUGAGGGACGAAGCCCUGGGGCGCAAACCGGAUUAGAUACCCGGGUAGUCCAGGGUGUAAACUAUGUGGGCUUUGUAUUGGAGGUCCCACGUGGGCGUCCAGUGCAGAAGAGAAGUUGUUAAGCCCACCGCCUGGGAAGUACGGUCGCAAGGCUGAAACUUAAAGGAAUUGGCGGGGGAGCACAGCAACGGGAGGAGCGUGCGGUUU
This 429-nucleotide ribosomal RNA is filed under the name uncultured archaeon. RNAcentral describes it as "bacterial SSU rRNA". It matches the Rfam family "Archaeal small subunit ribosomal RNA", at positions 474 to 903 of the family's 1478-position model. The record is from RNAcentral.